RNAcentral lists this transfer RNA (73 nucleotides) under Synechococcus phage S-PM2. It matches the Rfam family "tRNA". From Rfam's summary of the family: Transfer RNA (tRNA) molecules are approximately 80 nucleotides in length. Their secondary structure includes four short double-helical elements and three loops (D, anti-codon, and T loops). The record is from Rfam by way of RNAcentral. Lineage: Duplodnaviria; Heunggongvirae; Uroviricota; Caudoviricetes; Pantevenvirales; Kyanoviridae. RNAcentral also lists the same sequence under 1 other name.
GGGUCUGUAACUCAGUUGGUAGAGUAGCGGGCUUUUAACCUGUAAGUCGUCGGUUCGAACCCGACCAGACCCA